CAGUAGCGUAUAUUAAUGUUGUUGCAGUUAAAAAGCUCGUAGUUGGAUUUCUGACUUGACGCGCCUGGCCCGCCUUGCAUUUCGCGGGUGAGUGCCGGAGCGCGUCGGUCAUCCUUCUAUAGACGGCGCCUACCCUUCAGCUGGGUCGGCGAUCGCAAUCUAUGAUCUUUUACUUAAGAAAAUUAGAGUGUUCAAGGCAGGCUCGCGCUGUGAAUACAUUAGCAUGGAAUAAUAAUCUAGGACUUUGUCCUAUUUUGUUGGUUUCUAGGAAUUAAGUAAUGAUUGAUAGGGAUAGUUGGGGGUGCUAGUAUUCAGCGGCCAGAGGUGAAAUUCUUGGAUUCGCUGAAGACUAACUUAUGCGAAAGCAUUCACCAAGGAUGUCUUCUUUUAAUCAAGAACGAAAGUUGGGGGAUCGAAGACGAUCAGA
Molecule: ribosomal RNA, 427 nt
Filed under: uncultured eukaryote
Lineage: Eukaryota
Description: bacterial SSU rRNA
Rfam family: Eukaryotic small subunit ribosomal RNA
Source: RNAcentral